AUUGAACGCUGGCGGCAUGCUUUACACAUGCAAGUCGAACGGUAACAGGCCUUCGGGUGCUGACGAGUGGCGAACGGGUGAGUAAUGCAUCGGAACGUACCCAGAGGUGGGGGAUAACGCAGCGAAAGCUGUGCUAAUACCGCAUGUGAUCUGAGGAUGAAAGCGGGGGACCGAGCAGCAAUGUUUGGCCUCGCGCCUUUGGAGCGGCCGAUGUCGGAUUAGCUAGUUGGUGGGGUAAAGGCCUACCAAGGCGACGAUCCGUAGCUGGUCUGAGAGGACGACCAGCCACACUGGGACUGAGACACGGCCCAGACUCCUACGGGUGGCAGCAGUGGGGAAUUUUGGACAAUGGGCGCAAGCCUGAUCCAGCAAUGCCGCGUGCGGGAAGAAGGCCUUCGGGUUGUAAACCGCUUUUGGCAGGAACGAAACGGUGUCCGCUAAUACCGGGCGCUAAUGACGGUACCUGCAGAAUAAGCACCGGCUAACUACGUG
RNAcentral lists this ribosomal RNA (492 nucleotides) under uncultured bacterium. Its description in RNAcentral is "partial 16S ribosomal RNA". It matches the Rfam family "Bacterial small subunit ribosomal RNA", at positions 30 to 507 of the family's 1533-position model. The record is from RNAcentral.